This 27-nucleotide non-coding RNA is filed under the name Mus musculus (house mouse). The record is from RNAcentral. Lineage: Eukaryota; Metazoa; Chordata; Mammalia; Rodentia; Muridae.
UAUGAUCGUGACCUUUCCCGCCUUGAC